This 253-nucleotide ribosomal RNA is filed under the name uncultured bacterium. Its description in RNAcentral is "partial 16S ribosomal RNA". It matches the Rfam family "Bacterial small subunit ribosomal RNA", at positions 524 to 776 of the family's 1533-position model. The record is from RNAcentral.
UACGAAGGGGGCUAGCGUUGCUCGGAAUCACUGGGCGUAAAGCGCACGUAGGCGGCCUCUUAAGUCAGGGGUGAAAUCCUGGAGCUCAACUCCAGAACUGCCUUUGAUACUGAGUAGCUUGAGUCCGGGAGAGGUGAGUGGAACUGCGAGUGUAGAGGUGAAAUUCGUAGAUAUUCGCAAGAACACCAGUGGCGAAGGCGGCUCACUGGCCCGGUACUGACGCUGAGGUGCGAAAGCGUGGGGAGCAAACAGG